This is a long non-coding RNA of Arvicola amphibius (Eurasian water vole), 823 nucleotides long. RefSeq lists it as uncharacterized. The transcript is spliced from 4 exons. The record is from RefSeq and is a predicted model, not a curated record. Lineage: Eukaryota; Metazoa; Chordata; Mammalia; Rodentia; Cricetidae.
UGGAGGUUCUUGUCUUUGCUUCCGUGGUUGACCUGGGACGCCGCGGACGACCCUCCAUAGCUCUCGGCCUGCUGGCGGGAUGACUGCGUCUCGUACUGUCUAUUGUAAAAAUGUCGCGUACUUUUCCACCGAGGGCGGUCGUCCUAAUGUGUGCAGCAGACUAACGCUGUGGUAAGAGGAAGAGCAGUUCAUGAUGUGCCCGAGGGCCGUGUGGACGCCUCACUCCCCACCCUGGACCCCCGGCCCAGAAAUCCUUAGCAAAGAGACCAUUUUGGGCCCACUGGAACUGGAAUAAAAUAGAAGCCUGAUGCGGUCCCCUGCUGUGAUCUUGCCAAGAAUGUGUGCUACGUGAUAGCUUUCCUUCUCUAGGGAGUUUGUCUGCUGGAAAUCAAGCUGUGAGGACAUGCUGGGGUCUUGGGAAAGCUGCUAAGCUCUGCUUGUGUGAACUUCAUGUUGAAUGCCCAGCAGUGGCCCAGUUGAGAUCCAGAGGCCAGGAAGAAGAAAGCCUACCUCUUGGUCUUGUGGCUGAGCAGGACAGGUGCAGAUGAGAUUAUAGGCCUCAGUGUGGCCUCCGACCUCCCCAGGGACCUGCAGAGCCACCCACACAGGCAUCAGGCAGCUCCACACUUCCGUCCUAACAGCCCACAUCCUAAAUUACCACAUUUGUGUUGGCUUGAACUGUUGCUUCGACACUGGUGGAAUUAGCUCUAUGCAGUUGGCAGUAGAGGUUGUCGGGCCCUCUAAGACUCAGCAUUCCCAUCUAACCAACUGCACACUGCCCCACAUUAUGGGGGUGGCACAAAUAAACUUCUUAAUUUUUUAA